Molecule: ribosomal RNA, 439 nt
Filed under: uncultured bacterium
Lineage: Bacteria
Description: bacterial SSU rRNA
Rfam family: Bacterial small subunit ribosomal RNA
Source: RNAcentral
GAUGAACGCUGGCGGAGUGCCUAACACAUGCAAGUCGAGCGGCAGCGCGAGUAGUUUACUACUUGGCGGCGGGCGGCGGACGGCUGAGUAACGCGUGGGAACAUGCCCCAAAGCGAGGAAUAACUGCCCGAAAGGGUAGCUAAUGCCGCAUACGAUCUUCGGAUUAAAGGAUUUAUCCGCUUUGGGAGUGGCCUGCGUACGAUUAGAUAGUUGGUGAGGUAAUGGCUCACCAAGUCUACGAUCGUUAACUGGUUUGAGAGGAUGAUCAGUCAGACUGGAACUGAGACACGGUCCAGACUCCUACGGGAGGCAGCAGUGAGGAAUCUUCCACAAUGGACGAAAGUCUGAUGGAGCAACUCCGCGUGCGGGAUGAAGGCCUUCGGGUCGUAAACUGCUUUAUGAGUGAAGAAUAUGACGGUAACUCAUGAAUAAGGGUCGG